AGUGAACGCUGGCGGUAGGCCUAACACAUGCAAGUCGAACGGCAGCACAGGAGAGCUUGCUCUCUGGGUGGCGAGUGGCGGACGGGUGAGGAAUACAUCGGAAUCUACUCUGUCGUGGGGGAUAACGUAGGGAAACUUACGCUAAUACCGCAUACGACCUACGGGUGAAAGCAGGGGACCUUCGGGCCUUGCGCGAUUGAAUGAGCCGAUGUCGGAUUAGCUAGUUGGCGGGGUAAAGGCCCACCAAGGCGACGAUCCGUAGCUGGUCUGAGAGGGUGAUCAGCCACACUGGAACGGAGACCCGGUCCAGACUCCUACGGGAGGCAGCAGUGGGGAAUAUUGGACAAUGGGCGCAAGCCUGAUCCAGCCAUACCGCGUGGGUGAAGAAGGCCUUCGGGUUGUAAAGCCCUUUUGUUGGGAAAGAAACCCAGCUGGCUAAUACCCGGUUAGGAUGACGGUACCCAAAGAAUAAGCACCGGCUAACUUCGUGCCAGCCGCCGCGGUAA
Molecule: ribosomal RNA, 506 nt
Filed under: uncultured bacterium
Lineage: Bacteria
Description: partial 16S ribosomal RNA
Rfam family: Bacterial small subunit ribosomal RNA
Source: RNAcentral